AGAAUCAAAACUACCUUACGUUCUUCACGUAUCCAUAAAGCUUUCUUAUGGGGUUGUCAUCAGUCCACGAAGUCAGAGAACGAAGAGGAAGAAAUGAGCAAUGCUUCUAAUGACCGUUCUAGGAUUUUUAAAGGGGAUGUAUAAGUGAAAGGACGAAAAUGCCCCAAACUUGCAAGACAUGUGGGAAUUUUAACUCUAAAAUCAAACGGUAGGUUAGAUUAGGGACCAGACUUUAACAAAUUAAACAAUCAAGGAUUCACGGGGUUAAAAAAUGGAGUUAGGGACUAGGCACGCAUGAAACACCAAACCACAGGGACCAUUCGUUUAAUUUGUCCUUAGUUAUACCAUCAUCUUAUCAUCUCACAGCCUCCAUCGUGUGUUCUGUUCUUUCUCAUCGAUGUUGCUCCGCCUGCAAUCGUAUUCCGUCGCCGGCAAUCGUUUUCCAUCGCCUCCAGGUGGUGCGAUUCCUACUCGACUGUUUCUCUUCUCCAUCUAUUCAGGUGAUUUUCUUCUGCAACAGGGAAAAAGCGGUGGAAAAAAGACUGUGAGAUUUGGUUGGUUCUUUCUCUUGAAUGUACAAGUUGUCUCUUGGAAGCCAUACUAUUGUCAAGUUUGAGCUGGGGUUUCACAAAUGCCCAAACUGUUCCGAAAGUCUAGGAAUAAUUGUGCAGGGAGGCCCUUUGUAAAUAUAUCUGCAAACUGAUGUGCUGAUGGCACAUGCAAGACACGCACAUGGUCAACCGCAACACGUUCCCUAACAAAAUGUAAAUCAAUUUCCACAUGUUUGGUACGUUGGUGCUGAAUUGGAUUAGAAGCUAGGUACAUGGCACUGACAUUGUCACAAAACACAACCGUGGCCUUAGUUAAUGGGCAAGACAACUCAAGAAGAUGAUUUUGCAGCCAUGUUGUGUGACAACCCGAAGUUUAUCCCGUCUUUGUAACCCGUUCACUUAUUAAAAUUCGUCUUUUUCGGAUUGUUUCCAUUUACAUUUUAAGUUAAGUCAUUUAAUUUAAGACUUGUAUUAUGAUCUCGUAAGUAUCCAAACACGUUAGAAACUCAUGAAAACAUCCCAAACUAUUAUUUAGUAAAUUAUUAGUUUCGACCACGUCGGGUUACGACAACUAAAUCGGGUGCGACCAAAAGCCCCGUUUAACGUCAGUAUCGGGUAGAAUUCCACCGUGUCUCAAACUUUAACCAUAUAUAAAGUGGAAUGAGCCUCAUUUGAAGCCUUUUUCACUCUCUCUCUCUACUCUCUCUCCUCUAAUCCAAGCUCUAGGUCCAAAAUCAUCAAAUUAAAGCUCCAAAUCAUCAAGGUAACUACCCUAACUCAUAGUAUAACAUCUUUAGCCUUCAAAUUUGUGUUUAAUCUAUAAAAUAGGACCAUUAUCAUGAUUUUACGGCCAUAGAACAGUCCUAGGCCGUGAACUCACAUAAAAUGGGUUUUGGAGCCCAAAAACCCUCCCAAAUCACUCUUGGAGCUUAGAAAUGACUUAAGGACUUAUUGGAUUGGACUUGGAACACCUUGAACUCAACAUUUAGGGGGUAAACAUGAGUUUACAGCCCAAGCAGACCGUAAACACCAUUUCAUGGGCAGUAAACUCAUUUUUAGGUGUUAAGAUGCCACUUAAACACCUCCUAAGCCUUGGAAUAAAGUCUAGAAGCAACCACAAGUGUGUUAGGGACCUUAAUCAUCAAGAAAACUACCCCCUUAGGAGUUCACGACCGUAAACCCCCCAAGGAUAGGUUCCUGGGCCGUAAACUCCUAAAACAUGGUCAAAUGAUUCCCUAAAUUCCAUCCAAGGCUUGUAAAAUGACUUAGAAUCACAUAUGAUUAAUCUAGGGCCACCAAAUCAUGAAAGGAAAGAGUACAUAGGAGCUUACGGCCGUAAACUCCUAGUUCACAUCCGUAAACUCCAUUAGAUGGUCCAUAUGUUGGUUUAAUCCAUUCCUAUACCCUAGAUUUGAUCCUAGCUAAUUUUCCCAAGUGAUAUAAAGCCAUUUAGCAACCUAGAACCCACCACCCAUGAGUUUACAGCCGUAAACUCAUGGGGAUAUGGUCUUAGGGCCGUAAUCUCUUCAAGGAGUUUACUCUUGAAGAGCAAACCCCAUAUCUAUGCCCCAUACGUCCGUAGAUGCCACCCGGGUCACUCCAAACACUUGAAUAGAAGUGUUUUCGCGUCUCGAAGUGUAUAUCCUCAACUUAUUAGUAGUACAAAGCCUAAUUAGAUACAAAUGUGUAUCUUUUUAUAUUACAUAGGAACCUCGCACGCGUUCAAUCCCCGAACCGAUGUUUAGCACCCAAACCGACACGUUUCUCGACCAGUGAGUUCCUACCCCUCCGCAUUUUUCAAUAUUUUCAGGGGGGAAUACAAGCAAAAGUACAAGGAUAGCUUGUACUCAAACUUAUUAUUUCAUUUGAAAUGUUUCAUAUUCCACAUGCUUUUAACAAUCAAAACCGU
This is a non-coding RNA of Lactuca sativa (garden lettuce), 2460 nucleotides long. Lineage: Eukaryota; Viridiplantae; Streptophyta; Magnoliopsida; Asterales; Asteraceae. The record is from RefSeq and is a predicted model, not a curated record.